This 253-nucleotide ribosomal RNA is filed under the name uncultured bacterium. RNAcentral's name for it is "partial 16S ribosomal RNA". It matches the Rfam family "Bacterial small subunit ribosomal RNA", at positions 524 to 776 of the family's 1533-position model. The record is from RNAcentral.
UACAGAGACUGCAAGCGUUAUUCGGAUUCACUGGGCGUAAAGGGUGCGCAGGUGGCCAGGUGUGUGAGGCGUGAAAGCCCGGGGCUUAACCCCGGAAUUGCACCUCAAACUACUUGGCUAGAGCAUUGGAGAGGGGAGCAGAAUUCACGGUGUAGCAGUGAAAUGCGUAGAUAUCGUGAGGAAUACCAGAGGCGAAGGCGGCUCCCUGGACAAUUGCUGACACUCAGGCACGAAAGCGUGGGGAGCAAAAGGG